RNAcentral lists this ribosomal RNA (451 nucleotides) under uncultured bacterium. Its description in RNAcentral is "partial 16S ribosomal RNA". It matches the Rfam family "Bacterial small subunit ribosomal RNA", at positions 29 to 523 of the family's 1533-position model. The record is from RNAcentral.
AGCGAACGCUGGCGGCAGGCUUAGCACAUGCAAGUCGAGCGGGCAUAGCAAUAUGUCAGCGGCAGACGGGUGAGUAACGCGUGGGAACGUACCUUUUGGUUCGGAACAACUGAGGGAAACUUCAGCUAAUACUGGAUAAGCCCUUACGGGGAAAGAUUUAUCGCCGAAAGAUCGGCCCGCGUCUGAUUAGCUAGUUGGUGAGGUAAUGGCUCGCCAAGGCGACGAUCAGUAGCUGGUCUGAGAGGAUGAUCAGCCACAUUGGGACUGAGACACGGCCCAAACUCCUACGGGAGGCAGCAGUGGGGAAUAUUGGACAAUGGGCGCAAGCCUGAUCCAGCCGUGCCGCGUGAGUGAUGAAGGCCCUAGGGUUGUAAAGCUCUUUUGUGCGGGAAGAUAAUGACGGUACCGCAAGAAUAAGCCCCGGCUAACUUCGUGCCAGCAGCCGCCGUAA